GAGUCACAGAAACGCCACAUAAAUAACUAGUUGUCACCUGCGAUUCUCUUCACACAACACAGAUCUGGGAUUCUUUGACUCUUUGCCAUCGCUCUAAACUUCCUGGCCUUUGGUUUUUAGACAAACAGGAAGCUGCUCAUAGACAUCUGCUCGUGGACAGAAGUAUAACCCCUGCUGGACAUGGUGCCGGGGCUCGGGGGGGGACCCGAAUCGUCCCCAUCCCUUCAUUCACACAACACUCACUCAUAUCGCGGAGAUCUGGCUGGGAUCGAACCAGCAACCUCUGAACCGUGAGGCAGCGCUCUUACCUGUGAGCCACAGAUCUCUUGUUUGAGUGUGUGAAGGAACUUAUAUUUCACUGUUCACCUGCAUGUGCUUUUAUAAUAAACCAGUUAAAGCUAUCA
Long non-coding RNA from Cyprinus carpio (common carp), 404 nucleotides. Lineage: Eukaryota; Metazoa; Chordata; Actinopteri; Cypriniformes; Cyprinidae. The record is from Ensembl.